Molecule: unclassified non-coding RNA, 3164 nt
Filed under: Hevea brasiliensis (rubber tree)
Lineage: Eukaryota; Viridiplantae; Streptophyta; Magnoliopsida; Malpighiales; Euphorbiaceae
Source: RNAcentral
GUGAGUACUUUCUUUUUGUUUUGGGAUUUUUGAGUACCUUUUGUAUUUUGAACAAAGUUUGUUUGGUUUGGUUGCUUUAAUUAAUCGAACUUUCAGUGAUCACGGGUUGAUAUUAGAUUCAAAUAUAUGGUCUUUUUAUCACAAAUAGAGGAAAGUGAGAGCGAUAUUCAAACCCAAAUGGAUUAAUUUGGGAGGUAACCAUUUGGGUUUUUGAAUUGGGGAGAGGAAUGAGGAAUUUAGGUUGGUUCUGCAUCUGUGCUUUGAUUGAUGUUUCCACAAAUAUUUCAAAGUGUUCCUAUUUAAUUUUGUACUGUGCAAGUAAUUAUGAAUUGUACUAUGUGAGUGCUUUGUUGAUGAACACAUGGUCAUAACCCAGUUUGUCACUGUUGAAUAAAAGCGAAAACAUGUUUGUAAAGCCACAUGUUAUUUGACCCUGAGUUUGAAAUAUGCAAAUUUGAAGCAGAAGUUAAUGACUUCGAAUAUUCAGGAAUAACAGUAUCGUUCCAUAGUAUGAUAAAUAGCAGUUGAACACUGAUUAGUAGGUUCUCAUUGUGAGUCUGGACACUGCUUGGUCUUCCUGGCCAUUUUAGUAACAGGUGUUUAAGGUUGUCUAGUUUAGCUUCUACUAUUGUUGCACCCACCUACUUGAACUUGGAUAUAUGCCCCUAAAUUUACUAACUUCUUAAACCCUCAUUGUAGUUUGAUGUCCUGUUGCUUUAUUCUUAGGAGGGGGUUGGGGUACUGCUCUAAGAAUAUUGCUUGAUUUAGCUAUGUUAGGAAGCUUCUGGUAUUGGGUUCUUUGAGAUUUUACUAUUUAUUGUGGUCAUCUUUGAAGAUAAUCCAAACAUUGUGUUCUUCACUGAAUACCUUAUGAUGGCCGGUUAGCACCGUUAUUUCCUCAUGUACAAGGCUGUUCUAUUUCUGUUCAUUUUUAUAAUCCUUCCUCUUGGGCUUGGGUUGGUGUUAAAAGAUGGAAUGUUGCUGUCUUAUUCAGCAUCCUAGAUGUAAAAAUCUAUAAAAGUUUUACGUUGUUAGAAGAAUCCUUCAUUUUGGUUCUCGGAGUAGCAUUAAAUGCUUAUGCUUCACAUUGCAUUUUCUCAGGGAAAGUUUUAUAUUGAUUUGCUAUUAUUUCCUAAUGCAUUUUCUUUUUUGCUUCCCAAAAAUAUUUGCCUCGGGAUCUUCUCCAGACCCAACAUGGUAAGAUGAUAUGCUUUGUACUUUGAUUUGUGACACUAAGUUUCCUAAUGAUAUUUUCUUGCUUUUGAUUACUAACUGGUUCUGCUUUUGGUUUUUAAGAUCACCCUUACAGGAUUCAUGUUCUUGGUUACUUCUGCACUGCUUGGCUAUAUAUAUUCACCUCAUUUGGAUACAGCUCCACCAAGAUGGGUUCACUUUGCACAUGGAUUACUUCUAUUUUUAUAUCAGACUUUUGAUGCUGUUGAUGGGAAGCAAGCACGACGGACAAGCUCCUCGAGCCCAUUGGGAGAACUUUUUGACCAUGGAUGUGAUGCUCUUGCAUGUGCAUUUGAAAGCAUGGCUUUUGGUAGCACUGCAAUGUGUGGAAGAGACACUUUCUGGUUUUGGGUUUUAUCAGCUGUUCCAUUCUACGGCGCAACAUGGGAACACUUUUUCACAAAUACUCUUAUUCUUCCUGCAAUUAAUGGACCAACCGAGGGUCUGAUGAUGAUAUAUGUAGCUCAUUUUUUCACAGGCGUAGUUGGUGCUGAGUGGUGGGUUCAGAACUUUGGGAAGUCUUUUCCCUUUUUAAGUUGGGUGCCAAUUAUAAGUGAAAUCCCAACUUUCAGAGCUGUGCUGUUUAUAAUGAUAGCUUGUGGUGUUAUUCCUACGAUUGCAUUCAAUGUGUGCAAUGUCUACAAGGUUGUUCAGUCAAGAAAAGGCAGCAUGUUACUGGCAUUAGCCAUGGUAAAUCUGUAACUUUUUGGAACAUGCAUUUCUCAAUUACAUUUGUGCUUAAUAGAUUUCUUAUUCUUUUCUCGUAUUAUCAGCUUUAUCCUUUUGUUGUGCUCAUGGGAGGCGUCUUGGUGUGGUAUGAUUUAACCUGCAACAUUAUCAUGUGCAUAAUCAAUUCUUGAUGUGCAUUGUGGUCUUUAUUUAGGAUCUUACUUCAUAUGCAGGGAUUAUCUGUCUCCAUCUGAUAUAAUGGGAAAAUAUCCUCAUCUAGUUAUACUGGGGACUGGACUUGCAUUUGGGUUUCUUGUGGGAAGGAUGAUUCUGGCCCACUUGUGUGAUGAACCAAAGGGAUUGAAAACUAACAUGUGCAUGUCUUUAUUAUAUCUACCAUUGGCCAUUGCAAAUGCACUCACUGCCAAACUGAAUGAUGGGGUUCCUUUGGUUGAUGAAUUCUGGGUUCUUCUUGGCUAUUGUGUAUUCACAGUGGGACUCUAUUUACACUUUGCCACGUCAGUCAUUCAUGAAAUCACAACAGCCUUGGGCAUUAAUUGCUUCAGGAUAACUAGGAAAGAGGCUUGAAAAAUGCAGGAUCUGAUCUCAGUGGUUUGGGGCUUUGGGCUACUUUUGAUUGAUGGGAUUUCUGUAUGCUCAAUUAUGAUUCAGCUGGCAAGUCCAGAGCUAUGCGGCAAAAUUGAUGAUUUGGCACAUCUAUCUUUUUUAGGUUUAAUAUUGAUGACAGGGUUGUAACUGGAUUCAGGGCACAACAUCUGGUUCAACCAUGUUGAUACAGAUUAUUUAAUAUCACAGUAGAGUAGGCAAUUUGAGGCAUGCAGACCUUUUAUGAAUAUCGCAAUGUUUUUUGAUUUUUAAGGUGCAUGCUUGAGACUUUGCAUGCGAGGGAUAGUGUUUUUUUUUCCUUUUUUGGGUGGGGGUGGAAAAUUACUGUUUGAUGCAUUGUUGGAUGAGUAGUAAUAGUAGGGCUUGGCUAUAAAGUAUAGAUAAAAGCAUAUAAUUCUUAGAGCAACUGGGUUAAUAUCAAAAGGCAAGUCAUUGUUAUAUGAGAUCUACCAUAUGACUUGCCUAUUGGUUUUUUUUGGGAUGUUGUUGCAUAGGAAAGUCAUCUUAUGAUUUGAAGAUGAAAUUCUGGUUAGGUUUUUGGGUUUCAUUGGAGAUUUAAUCAUUACAAACGGGAUCCUAAGUAUCUGAAUUUAUGUUUUCAUACAUUCUAUAAUUUUUUUUUUGUUUUAAUUUUU